Molecule: long non-coding RNA, 4679 nt
Filed under: Homo sapiens (human)
Lineage: Eukaryota; Metazoa; Chordata; Mammalia; Primates; Hominidae
Description: HSALNT0070130
Source: RNAcentral
GUAAGUACCAUUACUUAAGUGUCUAUAAACCCAAUAUAUCUCAAAAAAGUAGUGCUUGUGCUUAUUGUUAAGUAUGUUCUAGUAACUGUACAGUUAGAUGGUUAAGUGAGACAUUACUUCUCUAGGUAUACAGGUGAUGGUGCUCCCUUUAGUGAGUCAUUUAAAAUUCUGUAGAUAUGUAAAGAAUUAAUGAUUAUCCAGAGUGGAAGGAUCAGGUUACUCAAGGAGAUCACAAGCAGGGUCAGGAAAUACCCCCUUGAAAAUUAUUUAUGCACCAGGCUAGACUCACCACCAGGAAACAGGAGCUGAGAGGAAAGGCCCUAGGUUUCUGCAAGUUCUGAACCAGCAAAUGUUGUCAUUAGAUGUGUUGGCAUCUAUCCUUGGAAGGAUAUAAUAAAUAAGUAGUUCUACAUGUGGGUGCUGGAGAGGCAAGAUGGUGCCUCAGGUAAAACGGCUGACAGCCAGGCUUGGAAGGAAGGACCGUGGUAAGGGCUGUGCCAAACACUUUCAAGAAUGCAAUUAUAUUAGGAACAGGGAAUUUGGGAUGUGAAGGCUCUUCACUGCAUUUCCUAGGAUGUAUCAAAUCAAAACUAUACUUGCUAAGAUGAACUAUGUAGCCUGUAUUUGAUCUGGUUAUUUUUCUAUAAUUUAAGUGUCUGUUCAAAAUGUCAACUUGUUUUAGGUAUUCUAAGGAGAACUAAAGAGAGAGAUUUGUAUUCAGGUUUGGAACAGAGAGAAAGAAAAGAGCUUCCUUGCUGGGAUAGAGCAGAAAUAGGUAAAGGACAGGAAAAGUUCAAAGGGAGAGAAACAAAUUCAUGGUGUGACAGCAGGAGUAGCUAGGUAGUGAAAGAAGAGGAAAUAUAGAACAUAGUUAUGUCCCAGAACAUUAAUCUACCUCCAAAUCAAGGAAUUCAGUAAGAGAUACUAGGUCUCUAGAAUUCUCCAGCAGAGAAAAACCAUGGUUUAUUUUAUUUUUAUUAUUAUUAUUUUUUGGCUCUUUUGCCAGGCUAGAGUGCAGCAAUGCAAUCUCGGCUCACUGUAACCUCUGCCUCCCAGGUUCGAGCAAUUCUCCUGCCUCAGCCUCCCAAGUAGUUGGGACUACAGGCACGUGCCACCACGCCCAGCUAAUUUUUGAAUUUUUAGUAGAGACUGGGUUUCACCAUUUUGACCAGGAUGAUCUCAAUCUCUUGACCUCGUGAUCCACCCACUUUGGCCUCCCAAAGUGCUGGGAUUACAGGCGUGAGCCACCGCACCUGGCCAACCAACCAUGCUUUGAUUGUCUGUCCCAUUGUGAGUCUAAGAUCCAAAGGACUCCGGAAGAGAUGUUGCCAGCCAUGAACAAGAGUUAAUGGAGAUAAUUUGUUUGCUAUCUGCCUCAUCAAGCAAGAUUGUACUAACCUUUCAGAAAUUUUACAAUUCUCUCCCCCUCACUCCUACCCCACUAUGCUCUAAAAGUUCUAAGGGAAUAUGUUUAACUUUCUAAAUUGUAAUGUGAUAGGACUACUGAAACUUGUCAGGAAAAUAAUUCUGUUUUAGACGGAAGACAAAUUGACAGCCACACCCAGUUUAAUCAAGGAUGUUUCUAUCAUUCUUACUGUUUGCUAAAAGAGAAAGGUAAUUGUGGUUGAUCAUUCAAAACUUUUUAUUAAGAAUAAACUGUAGACUCACAUGUUGCUGGAGUUUAGGGAUACAAUAAUACCCACACAAUUCUUACUCUUCAUGAAUAGCAGUGGGACAAAGAAAAUAAUUCUAAUACAUGAAUAUGAGUCCUAUGUUUUUCUAACUUCAAAAAGCUCUAGAAUGUCAGAGUAGAGACAACUUACCAAUACUGGUCAUCAAGGGUGGCCUCUUAGGAAAGCUCACAUGAUUCUACACAUGUAUUAGGGCAUCACGGACUAACACUGAAUUAGCAAGAUUGAAGGAAACAUAGAUGGGUCCCCACUCUAAAUUUUCUUCUGUCUUUAAAGAUCUAAGGAACUCUAGAAAUUAGCAUAACCAUGAGGCAGUAAAUGAUUAUUAGCUGUGAUGUGUGAUAGGGAUAAGUUUAUAGGCGGUCAGAGGAAAGAAAAGAUCUCCAGGGUUAUCAGCAUGACCAAUUUAUAAAUGACUUAAUUUGGACACUCACUCUGCUACUUUGCCAUCUGCUUUAAAAGAAUUUCCCUUCAUUAUGUACAACACCUGAUCAUGGGGUUGUGCCUAUAUUAAUGGAUGCCUUUUCUUUUAGGAAAGCCUCAUGUGCUCCAUCUUAAGUCGAGCUCCAGAGUCAUUCGAUGUUCAUUCUCUUUGCCACUUGGCAAUUCUAAUCUAUCAACAGAUGUCUGGAUAGAGCACUUUUGUGCAUAGAGCCUUUGAAAGAAGUCGGAGCUAAGGAAACUCACCAGCUUCUUUAGAGACAGAAACUCACAAGACACACACCUUGUGGUCCGAUCUUUAUGGCUGUGUGGGAGAACUACAGUGUGAUUUCAGACUUUUUCUUGACAUGUGGAGUCUGUUAAUCCUGAAACUUCAAAAUGUACAUAUUUCCCCCAAAUGAGAUGUAAGUCUGUUGAGUUAAUUAUCAUACAAUUAUAGCAAUGGAAAAGAAAACCCUAAUCAAACGUGAACAGCUUGUCUAACUAUUAACCAGACCAUGGUGAACCAUUACUUAGCUCUGACUUGCAUGAUCCAUCAUAGACUUUUGGCCCUCUGUGAACAAAUGCUUAAAUGAGUUCAUAGUCAUUUAAAACUGAAAGGCCUGGCUGCCUGGGUUCUUGUGAUUUUCUUGAAAUUGUUUAGUCAUUAUAUUUUACUGGCAUGAAGUUAUGGCUAUCUUCCUCUCUUUUCCACAUGAUAGGAAAGAGCACCCAGGUCAUGGACAUGAAAGACAUAGCUUCCCAGGACUUUGAUCUACUAAAGUGGUGAUUUGUUUUAUAACAUUUCUACUUAUAGUCCCUUAAGCUGCUAAAAAACAUUAGAAGUCAAAUCCCUUUGAAUAAGUUUUCUUUCUAGGAAGAGCCAGAGUCCAAAGCAUUGUAUUCAGGGUGUCUUUUAGUGUUAGUCCAAUUUGCACUAUAUUCAGGAUAAUUCAGCUAUUGCCAGUAUUCUAGCAGUCAAAUACAAAAUGACCCAGGUGAAGCAUGGUGAACUUUUGGUUUACAGUUUUAAAUUCAAGAGGUCAGUUUCGAUUGAUACAAGGAUAUGAAAUUAGGGUUUGUUCUGGUUGAAUAGGUUGAGGUUUAGGACAGGGAAGGAAAAAGAGAAAGGAUAAAGCCAAUCAGAUGGUAUGACAUCACAUUCAAGACUAAAUAAUGAGACUGUGAGCUCAUUUUAUCCUCAGGCACACUGGAAAGUAGGCAUACUAUACAGUAACAGCCAACUUUUUGUUCAUUCUAACUCUUACCACACCGAGCUUUCCUUGGUGUCAGCCACAGGGGUCACUAAGCCAUCAGCUGAUCAAGAAAGUCUCCCGAGUAGCUGGACUACAGGUGCCCGCUCUCAGGCCUCUGAGCCCAAGCCAAGCCAUCGCAUCCCCUGUGACUUGCACGUAUAUGCCCAGAUGGCCUGAAGUAACUGAAGAAUCACAAAAGAAGUGAAUAUGCCCUGCCCCACCUUAACUGAUGACAUUCCACCAUAAAAGAAGUGGACGCGCAUGAAAUUUGGUGCCGCGACUCAGAUCGGGGGACCUCCCUUAGGAGAUCAAUCCCCUGUCCUCCUGUUCUUUGCUCCGUGAGAAAGAUCCACCUAUGACCUCAGGUCCUCAGACCGGACCAGCCCAAGGAACAUCUCACCAAUUUUAAAUCAGGUUCCCACGCCGACCCUAAUGCCGCUUGAAGCAGCCCUGAGAAACAUCGCCCAUUCUCUCUCUCCAUAUCACCCCCCAAAAAUUUUUGCCACCCCAACACUUCAACACUAUUUUGUUUUAUUUUUCUUAUUAAUAUAAGAAGGCAGGAAUGUCAGGCCUCUGAGCCCAAGCCAAGCCAUCGCAUCCCCUGUGACUUGCACGUAUACGCCCAGAUGGCCUGAAGUAACUGAAGAAUCACAAAAGAAGUGAAUAUGCCCUGCCUCACCUUAGCUGAUGACAUUCUACCACAAAAGAAGUGUAAAUGGCCAGUCCUUGCCUUAAGUGAUGACAUUACCUUGUGAAAGUCCUUUCCCUGGCUCAUCCUGGCUCAAAAAGCACCCCCACUGAGCACCUUGCCACCCCCACUCCUGCCCGCCAGAGAACAAACCCUCUUUGACUGUAAUUUUCCUUUACCUUCCCAAAUCCUAUAAAACGGCCCCACCCUUAUCUCCCUUCGCUGACUCUCUUUUCAGACUCAGCCCGCCUGCACCCAGGUGAUUAAAAGCUUUAUUGCUCACACAAAGCCUGUUUGGUGGUCUCUUCACAGGGACGCGCAUGAAACCCGCCACCACGCCCGGCUAAUUUUUUGUAUUUUUAGUAGAGAAGGGGUUUCACCAUGUUAGCCAAGAUGGUCUCAAUCUCCUGACCUUGUGAUCCACCCUCCUCAGCCUCCCAAAGUGCUGGGAUCACAGGCGUGAGCCACCGUGCCCGGCCGUAAGUAGUAAUUUGAAUGAUUUCUACGUCAAAGAUAUGGCUACAGGCCAAGAAAAUACAGUGGUGGGUUAACAGACACAGUCUUGGCCCUAAAAAGGUUUACAGUCUAGUGGGAGAAGUAGCCUCAAAUAAGGGACUAGACAAA